This 762-nucleotide ribosomal RNA is filed under the name Rhizobium giardinii. RNAcentral's name for it is "bacterial SSU rRNA". It matches the Rfam family "Bacterial small subunit ribosomal RNA", at positions 154 to 948 of the family's 1533-position model. The record is from RNAcentral. Lineage: Bacteria; Pseudomonadati; Pseudomonadota; Alphaproteobacteria; Hyphomicrobiales; Rhizobiaceae.
AAACUUGUGCUAAUACCGUAUACCCCCUUUGGGGGAAAGAUUUAUCGGAGAUGGAUGACCCCGCGUUGGAUUAGCUAGUUGGUGGGGUAAAGGCCUACCAGGGCGACUAUCCAUAGCUGGUCUGAGAGGAUGAUCACCCACUUUGGGACUGACACACGGCCCAAACUCCUACGGGAGGCAGCAGUGGGGAAUAUUGGACAAUGGGCGCAAGCCUGAUCCACCCAUGCCGCGUGAGUGAUGAAGGCCUUAGGGUUGUAAAGCUCUUUCACCGGAAAAGAUAAUGACGGUCUCCGGAAAAAAACCCCCGGCUAAUUUCGUGCCAGCAGCCGCGGUAAUACAAAGGGGGCUAGCGUUGUUCGGAAUUACUGGGCGUAAAGCGCACGUAGGCGGAUCGAUCAGUCAGGGGUGAAAUCCCAGAUCUCAACUCUGGAACUGCCUUUGAUACUGUCGAUCUAGAGUAUGGAAGAGGUGAGUGGAAUUCCGAGUGUAGAGGUGAAAUUCGUAGAUAUUCGGAGGAACACCAGUGGCGAGGGCGGCUCACUGGUCCAUUACUGACUCUGAGGUGCGAAAGCGUGGGGAGCACACAGGAUUAUAUACCCUGGUAGUCCACGCCGUAAACGAUGAAUGUUAGCCGUCGGCAAGUUUACUUGUCGGUGGCGCACGUAACGCAUUAAACAUUCCGCCUGGGGAGUACGGUCGCAAGAUUAAAACUCAAAGGGAUUCGACGGGGCGCCCGCACAGCUGGUAGGAGCAUGUGUUAUA